CCUACGGGUGGCAGCAGUAGGGAAUAUUGCUCAAUGGGGGAAACCCUGAAGCAGCAACGCCGCGUGGAGGAUGAAGGCUUUCGGAUUGUAAACCCCUUUUGGUAGAGAAGAAAAUGACGGUAUCUAACGAAUAAUCACCGGCUAACUCCGGUCCAGCAGCCGCGGUAAUACGGAGGGUUCAAGCGUUACGCGGAAUUACUGGGCGUAAAGAGCGCGGAGGCGGGCUAGCAAGUCAGAUGUGAAAUCCUAUGGCUUAACCAUAGAACUGCAUUUGAAACUGUUAUUCUAGAGUAUUGGAGAGGUAGGUGGAAUUCUUGGUGUAGCGGUGAAAUGCGUAGAGAUCAAGAGGAAUACUGAUUGCGAAGGCGGCCUACUAGAACAUAACUGACGCUGAUGCGCGAAAGCGUGGGGAGCAAACAGGAUUAGAUACCCGUGUAGUC
Molecule: ribosomal RNA, 440 nt
Filed under: uncultured bacterium
Lineage: Bacteria
Description: partial 16S ribosomal RNA
Rfam family: Bacterial small subunit ribosomal RNA
Source: RNAcentral